UACAGAGGUCUCAAGCGUUGUUCGGAUUUAUUGGGCGUAAAGCGUGCGUAGGCGGCGGGGCAAGUGAGGUGUGAAAUCCCGGAGCUUAACUCCGGAACUGCACUUUAUACUGCCUUGCUCGAGGGCUGGAGAGGAGACUGGAAUUUACGGUGUAGCAGUGAAAUGCGUAGAGAUCGGAAGGAAGACCAGUGGCGAAGGCGAGUCUCUGGAAAGCUGCUGACGCUGAGGCACGAAGGCCAGGGGAGCAAACGGG
This 253-nucleotide ribosomal RNA is filed under the name uncultured bacterium. Its description in RNAcentral is "partial 16S ribosomal RNA". It matches the Rfam family "Bacterial small subunit ribosomal RNA", at positions 524 to 776 of the family's 1533-position model. The record is from RNAcentral.